GCAUCGCGGAACGGCCGCCCCUGAGCGGUUCCCCUGUCUGGCCGCCGCAACGGCUCUCCUGCAGUCUCUGUUUUUUUUUUCUGGUCUUCCUUAAAUCAUUCCAUCUACGAGCCUGGCGGGGGAUGUGGAGAGAAGGAGGAGGACGGGGAAAGUGGCCGAUCAUGUGAGGAACACGUCAUACACAGCUCACUCUUUUUUUCCGCCAGUUUCCACUAAUUUGGCCAACUUUUCGGGGCCGCGGGUUUAUGCAGAGCCUGGGCGGAGGCGCUUUCCGCUGGAGGAGGGAGGAGAAAAGUCCCGGGGCGUCCCUUAUUCGCUCCGUUCUUCUGCAAGCUUUGCAGCCACGAGUUCAACAUUCGAAAAGAUUGCACGGCACAGUGUAAUGAAGUCCCGUAUAGUCUGGAUAUAUCAACUAAGAAUAAAAGCUGAAGAAGGUGAACUGUCUUUGGAGUAUCUUCACUGUAGUACUCUUUCUAGCUCAGGAAUGGCAACAGUUCUUUUCUUUUUCCGUGUUGUUGAGGGACUUUCCAUGAUCCGUGUCCAGGAGAAAAAGGUUCAUUUUUUUUUUUUUUGUGGAAAACUGAAGCAUGCCAUAGUAUGCAGUACAGACUGGUCUCUCCAUGCCUCUAUAUUUUCCCUUUCUCUGGAGGAAUAGUGCAGUCCUAAGGCACAAUUCUUUUCUUACGUAUCUCUAUGCGUAGUGGACUUUGUUUAAUGUGUAGACAUGUAUGAGGUGGUCCCUUCCCACUUGAUAAUCUGCCUUGGAAGUGCUACUUUGUGCUUGCUUAUUGAGAAAUCUUGUAAGAAGGCUACAAGAAUAUUUUCUGGACUGGUCUGUUUUGGCCUGUAACUCCCCAGCUUUUUGUACAGACCAUUUUCCAUCUCCAUUUGUAAGCUGCCAGGAAAGGACUGCUUGCAGUUGGUGCAGGUGUGGCUGCUGUGUGCUGUACAGCAGUUCCUGUUCUGUCAACCUGUGUGUGACUUGGUCUAGCGAUUGGUGACCCUGCACAUAGCAGGGGAGUUGAAACUAGGUGAUCAUUGUGGUCAACCUGGACCAUUCUGUGAUUCCAUGCUUCUAUGAUAGUUGGACUUGAUCUCAGAUGAUCAAUCUUAAUGAUUCAAUAACUUGGAGCAUAAGAGUAGUAUUGCUAACUUCGUUGUUGCUUUAGAGGAUUAUUUCCCACAUUCCGAAGUGCAACCGCUUUUCCAAGGCUGGAUUCUGAGCAGCUUGUUGGCUUUGCUGUGGUUCUUUGUGAGGACAAGUUCUCUAACUGUUUUUGCACACGUCCCUGCGCUGGUUCCCAUGUUUCUGUUGCUUGAUCUUAUCUUUUCUGCUCUCUCUCUUUUCUGCUGUCUCUAUCCUCUCUCCCCAUCCCCAGCCCCCCCUUCCUUUUUCUGUCUUCCCUGUCCUUGAUACCUCUGUGGUAUGCUGACUCAGAGUUCAACACAGAUGUUGAGUAAUUCCCUUUUGUUGUCUGAAGUUUAAAUGUAGUAGGACAGAUGUGAAUGCAGCCUGCUGCCCAGAGCUUAUUCCUUCCAUUCAAGUGGAUGAUAUGAAGCAUCACUAAACUUAGAGAAGUGUUUUGUAGAAGUGAUUUGGUUGUGGACUGGUACUAGCUGUGUGUCUGUAUGCAUCCACUCAUGGUAUCGUUUCUGUCCUUACUGCCAUUGAAAUUUUGGUAGGCACAUAUAAUCUUAUUCUUAUGUAGUGUUGGCUUUCAAGUAUGGUUUUAACAGGUAUUUAUGUCUGGUCUUCAGUAAGCCCGAAGGCUUUCAAUUUACUGGUGGGCACUUUGUUGUGCUUUGUCUGCAAGAUGGAUAUAUUUAUGUGAAAAAAAAUCUUGAGUUAGUCUUUCAUUUAUUCAAGCACAUGACAUUUCUGGGCUAUUUUGGUGUCCUGAAAUAGCAUGCCCUUUUUGUUUGUUUGGAAGACAUUCUCCAUUUCCAUUCUCACCUCUUUACAGUUCACCUGUGCUACCUUGUAAACAGAUGGAGAGAUACAGUAAGAAUGCUGCUGCAUACCAGCUCCCCUUACUACAUGCUGGGCUUUCCAGUAGGAAAUCGGUCAGGAUCUACUUCUGUAGCUGCUGUGUAACAUUGUGAAAGACAGUUAGCUCUUCAUGUGUGGGAAACAUGGCUAUGAGUGGGUAUGGGGCAAGAAUAGCUGGAAACAAAUCUGGAUCUGUUCAAGUAUGGUUUUUUUGUUUGCUGAUAAUGACUACUUUUUAUUGAAUAGUAGGUAAGCACUGUGAAUGGGAAAUUGUGUGCUUGGUUGGAAAAAAAAAAAAAAGGGAACCUCAUUAGGUGGCUAUUGUUGAUGUUACAGAUAAUGCUGUUACCAGGAUAUGUGG
This is a long non-coding RNA of Tympanuchus pallidicinctus (lesser prairie-chicken), 2351 nucleotides long. RefSeq lists it as uncharacterized. The transcript is spliced from 2 exons. The record is from RefSeq and is a predicted model, not a curated record. Lineage: Eukaryota; Metazoa; Chordata; Aves; Galliformes; Phasianidae.